ACGGGUGAGUAAUGCCUAGGAAUCUGCCUGGUAGUGGGGGAUAACGCUCGGAAACGGACGCUAAUACCGCAUACGUCCUACGGGAGAAAGCAGGGGACCUUCGGGCCUUGCGCUAUCAGAUGAGCCUAGGUCGGAUUAGCUAGUUGGUGAGGUAAUGGCUCACCAAGGCGACGAUCCGUAACUGGUCUGAGAGGAUGAUCAGUCACACUGGAACUGAGACACGGUCCAGACUCCUACGGGAGGCAGCAGUGGGGAAUAUUGGACAAUGGGCGAAAGCCUGAUCCAGCCAUGCCGCGUGUGUGAAGAAGGUCUUCGGAUUGUAAAGCACUUUAAGUUGGGAGGAAGGGCAUUAACCUAAUACGUUAGUGUUUUGACGUUACCGACAGAAUAAGCACCGGCUAACUCUGUGCCAGCAGCCGCGGUAAUACAGAGGGUGCAAGCGUUAAUCGGAAUUACUGGGCGUAAAGCGCGCGUAGGUGGUUUGUUAAGUUGGAUGUGAAAUCCCCGGGCUCAACCUGGGAACUGCAUUCAAAACUGACAAGCUAGAGUAUGGUAGAGGGUGGUGGAAUUUCCUGUGUAGC
This 581-nucleotide ribosomal RNA is filed under the name Pseudomonas sp. StFRB353. RNAcentral's name for it is "bacterial SSU rRNA". It matches the Rfam family "Bacterial small subunit ribosomal RNA", at positions 102 to 679 of the family's 1533-position model. Lineage: Bacteria; Pseudomonadati; Pseudomonadota; Gammaproteobacteria; Pseudomonadales; Pseudomonadaceae. The record is from RNAcentral. RNAcentral also lists the same sequence under 1 other name.